CCUACUCGGAGUUAUUCCGAGCAGUUCCGAAAGCCUACGAAAGUAAACGGAGCACAAGCACGUGACAGUUAUGAAUAAUCAAUGAGGUCAGCAAAUCAAAACAAAGAUGGACAGAUGAAAAUGAAAAGAGAAACAGAGGCAGACAGAGAUUGCCAAAAUCGAUCAGAAAGCGACGGUAAAUGGAAAAUGUAGGAAAUAUAUUGACGUCAAUGGUUUAUUUAGGCAUUCAUUGAAAGAAAAGGAUAGCAUUCAAAGCUUCAAAUGGAGUGGGAAAAUGGAGGGCGUGGAAACGAAACAUCACGAUAGUAUCUUUUGACAUCACGCUUCAAGACUCCGAUGUCAGGAGGCUGGUGAUGUCACAGAUUUUAACCUGGCUUGAACAUGCCAAGUGUACUGGCAUCUCAGCUGUUCUUCUCCAUCAUUUGACGGAUGAGCAUGAGUGGCCUCCCCCGAUUCAAUAUUAUGAGUAAAGUCAUGGG
Long non-coding RNA from Mya arenaria, 479 nucleotides. RefSeq lists it as uncharacterized. Lineage: Eukaryota; Metazoa; Mollusca; Bivalvia; Myida; Myidae. The record is from RefSeq and is a predicted model, not a curated record. The transcript is spliced from 3 exons.